AUUUUAUUACAUAGUAACAGAAUACAUAUUCUUCUGUUUUAGCAUCACAUUAUAACAUAAUACAUAGUCAUCAUAGCUCAAUGAUGUCAAUGUUUCAUCAUUAAAUAUCUAAACUUCAUGGCCAACGAUCCCCCACAUCAGCUCAAGAACCAUUCUGAUCCAUUCAGCAAAACACACACACAUACAAUUCACACUUCAAACAUAGCAUACGCACAUCCUCACAACAUACAGACAAAAUAAAGGGAUAUUUUAGUAUACAAGAAAACAAUAACAUUGAGGACAGUUGUCGAAUAACAGAUUUAGUCUUUGUUUUAAUCCGGAAACAUAAGCAGACAUCUAUUGUACAUCGAGGAAGAAAAAAAAAAAACGAAAAAGUGUACCUUGGAAAGACGCAAGCUUUUAACAGGCUUCGAUGUACU
This 419-nucleotide long non-coding RNA is filed under the name Danio rerio (zebrafish). RNAcentral describes it as "si:ch211-202a8.6 (ENSDARG00000096446.2)". Lineage: Eukaryota; Metazoa; Chordata; Actinopteri; Cypriniformes; Danionidae. The record is from RNAcentral.